CCCUUAGAUGUUCUGGGCCGCACGCGCGCUACACUGAUGCAUUCAACGAGUUCCUACCUUGGCCGAGAGGCCUGGGCAAUCUUUUGAACUUGCAUCGUGAUAGGGAUAGAUUAUUGCAAUUAUUAAUCUUGAACGAGGAAUUCCUAGUAAACGCAGAUCACCAAUCUGCAUUGAUUACGUCCCUGCCCUUUGUACACACCGCCCGUCGCACCUACCGAUUGAAUGGUCCGGUGAAGCCUCGGGAUUGUGGUUAGUUUCCUUCAUUGGAAGUUAGCCGCGAGAACUUGUCUAAACCUUAUCAUUUAGAGGAAGGUGAAGUCGUAACA
This 326-nucleotide ribosomal RNA is filed under the name uncultured eukaryote. RNAcentral describes it as "partial 18S ribosomal RNA". It matches the Rfam family "Eukaryotic small subunit ribosomal RNA", at positions 1470 to 1796 of the family's 1831-position model. The record is from RNAcentral.